This 147-nucleotide unclassified non-coding RNA is filed under the name uncultured Chalara. RNAcentral describes it as "sequence contains ITS2". Lineage: Eukaryota; Fungi; Ascomycota; Leotiomycetes; Helotiales. The record is from RNAcentral.
CAACCUUCAAGCUCUGCUUGGUAUUGGGCCACACCGGUAACGGUGAGCCUUAAAAUCAGUGGCGGCGCCGCUGGGCCCUGAGCGUAGUAAUACUCCUCGCUACUGGGUCCCGGUGGAUGCUUGCCAUCAACCCCCAAUUUUCUAUGG